This 64-nucleotide transfer RNA is filed under the name Seriana bacilla. Its description in RNAcentral is "tRNA-Ile". RNAcentral also lists the same sequence under 1 other name. The record is from RNAcentral. Lineage: Eukaryota; Metazoa; Arthropoda; Insecta; Hemiptera; Cicadellidae.
AAUAAGGUGCCUGAUUAAAGGAUUAUUUUGAUAGAAUAAAUUAUGUAUAUUAAUACUCUUAUUG